Molecule: ribosomal RNA, 734 nt
Filed under: Salmonella enterica
Lineage: Bacteria; Pseudomonadati; Pseudomonadota; Gammaproteobacteria; Enterobacterales; Enterobacteriaceae
Also listed under: 1 other name
Description: partial 23S ribosomal RNA
Rfam family: Bacterial large subunit ribosomal RNA
Source: RNAcentral
CCACCCUUUAAUGUUUGAUGUUCUAACGUGGACCCGUGAUCCGGGUUGCGGACAGUGUCUGGUGGGUAGUUUGACUGGGGCGGUCUCCUCCUAAAGAGUAACGGAGGAGCACGAAGGUUGGCUAAUCCUGGUCGGACAUCAGGAGGUUAGUGCAAUGGCAUAAGCCAGCUUGACUGCGAGCGUGACGGCGCGAGCAGGUGCGAAAGCAGGUCAUAGUGAUCCGGUGGUUCUGAAUGGAAGGGCCAUCGCUCAACGGAUAAAAGGUACUCCGGGGAUAACAGGCUGAUACCGCCCAAGAGUUCAUAUCGACGGCGGUGUUUGGCACCUCGAUGUCGGCUCAUCACAUCCUGGGGCUGAAGUAGGUCCCAAGGGUAUGGCUGUUCGCCAUUUAAAGUGGUACGCGAGCUGGGUUUAGAACGUCGUGAGACAGUUCGGUCCCUAUCUGCCGUGGGCGCUGGAGAACUGAGGGGGGCUGCUCCUAGUACGAGAGGACCGGAGUGGACGCAUCACUGGUGUUCGGGUUGUCAUGCCAAUGGCACUGCCCGGUAGCUAAAUGCGGAAGAGAUAAGUGCUGAAAGCAUCUAAGCACGAAACUUGCCCCGAGAUGAGUUCUCCCUGAGACUUUAGGUCUCCUGAAGGAACGUUGAAGACGACGACGUUGAUAGGCCGGGUGUGUAAGCGCAGCGAUGCGUUGAGCUAACCGGUACUAAUGAACCGUGAGGCUUAACCUUACA